RNAcentral lists this ribosomal RNA (253 nucleotides) under uncultured bacterium. RNAcentral describes it as "partial 16S ribosomal RNA". It matches the Rfam family "Bacterial small subunit ribosomal RNA", at positions 524 to 776 of the family's 1533-position model. The record is from RNAcentral.
UACGAAGGGUGCAAGCGUUACUCGGAAUUACUGGGCGUAAAGCGUGCGUAGGUGGUUUGUUAAGUCUGAUGUGAAAGCCCUGGGCUCGACCUGGGAACGGCAUUGGAAACUGGCUUACUAGAGUGCGGUAGAGGGGUGUGGAAUUCCCGGUGUAGCAGUGAAAUGCGUAGAUAUCGGGAGGAACAUCUGUGGCGAAGGCGACACCCUGGACCAGCACUGACACUGAGGCACGAAAGCGUGGGGAGCAAACAGG